RNAcentral lists this ribosomal RNA (463 nucleotides) under Escherichia coli. Its description in RNAcentral is "bacterial SSU rRNA". It matches the Rfam family "Bacterial small subunit ribosomal RNA", at positions 1080 to 1533 of the family's 1533-position model. The record is from RNAcentral. Lineage: Bacteria; Pseudomonadati; Pseudomonadota; Gammaproteobacteria; Enterobacterales; Enterobacteriaceae.
UUAAGUCCCGCAACGAGCGCAACCCUUAUCCUUUGUUGCCAGCGGUCCGGCCGGGAACUCAAAGGAGACUGCCAGUGAUAAACUGGAGGAAGGUGGGGAUGACGUCAAGUCAUCAUGGCCCUUACGACCAGGGCUACACACGUGCUACAAUGGCGCAUACAAAGAGAAGCGACCUCGCGAGAGCAAGCGGACCUCAUAAAGUGCGUCGUAGUCCGGAUUGGAGUCUGCAACUCGACUCCAUGAAGUCGGAAUCGCUAGUAAUCGUGGAUCAGAAUGCCACGGUGAAUACGUUCCCGGGCCUUGUACACACCGCCCGUCACACCAUGGGAGUGGGUUGCAAAAGAAGUAGGUAGCUUAACCUUCGGGAGGGCGCUUACCACUUUGUGAUUCAUGACUGGGGUGAAGUCGUAACAAGGUAACCGUAGGGGAACCUGCGGUUGGAUCACCUCCUUACCUUAAAGAA